GAUGAACGCUGGCGGCGUGCUUAACACAUGCAAGUCGAACGGUGAACACGGAGCUUGCUCUGUGGGAUCAGUGGCGAACGGGUGAGUAACACGUGAGCAACCUGCCCCUGACUCUGGGAUAAGCGCUGGAAACGGCGUCUAAUACUGGAUAUGUGACGUGAUCGCAUGGUCUGCGUCUGGAAAGAAUUUCGGUUGGGGAUGGGCUCGCGGCCUAUCAGCUUGUUGGUGAGGUAAUGGCUCACCAAGGCGUCGACGGGUAGCCGGCCUGAGAGGGUGACCGGCCGCACUGGGACUGAGACACGGCCCAGACUCCUACGGGAGGCAGCAGUGGGGAAUAUUGCACAAUGGGCGCAAGCCUGAUGCAGCAACGCCGCGUGAGGGAUGACGGCCUUCGGGUUGUAAACCUCUUUUAGCAGGGAAGAAGCGAAAGUGACGGUACCUGCAGAAAAAGCGCCGGCUAACUACGUG
Molecule: ribosomal RNA, 468 nt
Filed under: uncultured bacterium
Lineage: Bacteria
Description: partial 16S ribosomal RNA
Rfam family: Bacterial small subunit ribosomal RNA
Source: RNAcentral